AACGAACGCUGGCGGCGCGUUUUAAGCAUGCAAGUCGAACGGUAGAGUUCCUUCGGGAGCUUGAGAGUGGCGAACGGGUGAGUAACACGUAGAUGAUCUGCCUUGAGGUUGGGGAUAGCUCAUGGAAACAUGAGGUAAUACCGAAUAAGUUCUUGACGGUAAAGUGUCAAGAGGAAAGGAGCUUAGGCUUCGCCUUAAGAUGAGUCUGCGGCUCAUUAGCUAGUUGGUGGGGUAAAGGCCUACCAAGGCGACGAUGAGUAGCCGGCCUGAGAGGGUGAUCGGCCACACUGGAACUGAGACACGGUCCAGACUCCUACGGGAGGCAGCAGCUAAGAAUCUUCCGCAAUGGGCGAAAGCCUGACGGAGCGACGCCGCGUGUGUGAUGAAGGCCGUGAGGUUGUAAAGCACUUUUUUGUCACUGAAGAAUAAUGAUGGGAGGAAUGCCCGUCAGAUGACGUUAGGUGACGAAUAAGCCCCGG
This 479-nucleotide ribosomal RNA is filed under the name uncultured bacterium. Its description in RNAcentral is "bacterial SSU rRNA". It matches the Rfam family "Bacterial small subunit ribosomal RNA", at positions 29 to 496 of the family's 1533-position model. The record is from RNAcentral.